RNAcentral lists this non-coding RNA (23 nucleotides) under Arabidopsis thaliana (thale cress). Lineage: Eukaryota; Viridiplantae; Streptophyta; Magnoliopsida; Brassicales; Brassicaceae. The record is from RNAcentral.
AGGGUUGACUGAUUUUAUAGCCA